This 507-nucleotide ribosomal RNA is filed under the name Triticum aestivum (bread wheat). Its description in RNAcentral is "partial small subunit ribosomal RNA". The record is from RNAcentral. Lineage: Eukaryota; Viridiplantae; Streptophyta; Magnoliopsida; Poales; Poaceae.
AAUAUGUAUAAGGAUGUGAAGGGAAAUUUUUGGUGGCCUGGUAUGAAAAGGGAAAUCGCAGAAUAUGUCAGCAAGUGCGACACUUGUCAGAGGGUAAAAGCAGAACAUCAAAGGCCUGCCGGGUUAUUAAAGCCACUAGAGACACCAGAUUGGAAAUGGGAAGAUCUAUGUAUGGAUUUUAUUACUGGUUUGCCUAUGACACCAAAAAAGAAGGAUGCUAUAUGGGUUGUGGUCGACCGACUCACUAAGUCAGCACACUUCAUUGCCACAAACCAGAAAUAUUCCUUUGAUAAGUUGGCUGAACUGUACUUAGAGAGGAUAGUUACCCUCCAUGGUGUGCCAAAGACCAUAACAUCUGACCGAGGUUCCGUGUUUACAUCAAGCUUUUGGAAGAGCCUACAGAAGUCUCUUGGAACUGAGCUACACUUUAGCACAGCUUAUCAUCCCCAAACCGAUGGCCAGACAGAGCGGGUAAAUCAGAUCCUUGAGGAUAUGUUGAGAGCAUGU